Molecule: ribosomal RNA, 451 nt
Filed under: uncultured bacterium
Lineage: Bacteria
Description: partial 16S ribosomal RNA
Rfam family: Bacterial small subunit ribosomal RNA
Source: RNAcentral
AGCGAACGCUGGCGGCAGGCUUAACACAUGCAAGUAGAGCGGGCAUAGCAAUAUGUCAGCGGCAGACGGGUGAGUAACGCGUGGGAACGUACCUUUUGGUUCGGAACAACACAGGGAAACUUGUGCUAAUAACGGAUAAGCCCUUACGGGGAAAGAUUUAUCGCCGAAAGAUCGGCCCGCGUCUGAUUAGCUAGUUGGUGAGGUAAUGGCUCACCAAGGCGACGAUCAGUAGCUGGUCUGAGAGGAUGAUCAGCCACAUUGGGACUGAGACACGCCCCAAACUCCUACGGGAGGCAGCAGUGGGGAAUAUUGGACAAUGGGCGCAAGCCUGAUCCAGCCAUGCCGCGUGAGUGAUGAAGGCCCUAGGGUUGUAAAGCUCUUUUGUGCGGGAAGAUAAUGACGGUACCGCAAGAAUAAGCCCCGGCUAACUUCGUGCCAGCCGCCGCCGUAA